This 392-nucleotide ribosomal RNA is filed under the name uncultured bacterium. Its description in RNAcentral is "bacterial SSU rRNA". It matches the Rfam family "Bacterial small subunit ribosomal RNA", at positions 362 to 771 of the family's 1533-position model. The record is from RNAcentral.
UAUUGCACAAAGGGGGAAACCCUGAUGCAGCGACGCCGCGUGAGCGAGGAAGUAUUUCGGUAUGUAAAGCUCUAUCAGCAGGGAAGAAAAUGACGGUACCUGACUAAGAAGACCCGGCUAACUAAGUGCCAGCAGCCGCGGUAAUACGUAGGGGGCAAGCGUUAUCCGGAUUUACUGGGUGUAAAGGGAGCGUAGACGGAAUUGAAAGUCUGAUGUGAAAAUCCGGGGCCCAACCCCGGAACUGCAUUGGAAACUGUAUUUCUAGAGUGUCGGAGAGGAAAGUGGAAUUCCUGGUGUAGCGGUGAAAUGCGUAGAUAUCAGGAGGAACACCAGUGGCGAAGGCGGCUUGCUGGACGAUGACUGACGUUGAGGCUCGAAAGCGUGGGGAGCAA